RNAcentral lists this ribosomal RNA (468 nucleotides) under uncultured bacterium. Its description in RNAcentral is "partial 16S ribosomal RNA". It matches the Rfam family "Bacterial small subunit ribosomal RNA", at positions 28 to 507 of the family's 1533-position model. The record is from RNAcentral.
GACGAACGCUGGCGGCGUGCUUAACACAUGCAAGUCGAACGGAAAGGCCCUGCUUUUGUGGGGUGCUCGAGUGGCGAACGGGUGAGUAACACGUGAGUAACCUGCCCUUGACUUUGGGAUAACUUCAGGAAACUGGGGCUAAUACCGGAUAGGAGCUCCUGCUGCAUGGUGGGGGUUGGAAAGUUUCGGCGGUUGGGGAUGGACUCGCGGCUUAUCAGCUUGUUGGGGGGGUAGUGGCUUACCAAGGCUUUGACGGGUAGCCGGCAUGAGAGGGUGACCGGCCACAUUGGGACUGAGAUACGGCCCAGACUCCUACGGGAGGCAGCAGUGGGGAAUAUUGCACAAUGGGCGGAAGCCUGAUGCAGCAACGCCGCGUGCGGGAUGACGGCCUUCGGGUUGUAAACCGCUUUCGCCUGUGACGAAGCGUGAGUGACGGUAAUGGGUAAAGAAGCACCGGCUAACUACGUG